This 492-nucleotide ribosomal RNA is filed under the name uncultured bacterium. RNAcentral describes it as "partial 16S ribosomal RNA". It matches the Rfam family "Bacterial small subunit ribosomal RNA", at positions 29 to 507 of the family's 1533-position model. The record is from RNAcentral.
AGUGAACGCUGGCGGUAGGCCUAACACAUGCAAGUCGAACGGCAGCACCGUAAGAGCUUGCUCUUACGGGUGGCGCGUGUCGGACGGGUGAGGAAUACAUCGGAAUCUACUUUUUCGUGGGGGCUAACGUAGGGAAACUUACGCUAAUACCGCAUACGACCUACUGGUGACAGCAGGCGAUCUUCGUACCUUGUGCGAUUGAAUGAGCCGGUGUCGGAUUAGCUAGUUGGCGUGGUCAAGGCCCACCAAGGCGACGAUCCGUAGCGGGUCUGAGAGGAUGAUCAGCCACACUGGAAGUGAGACACGGUCCAGACACCUGCGGGAGGAAGCAGUGGGGAAUAUUAGACGAUGGGGGAAAGCGGGAUCCAGCCAUACCGCGGAGGGGAAGAAGGAGUUCGGGUGGGAGAGCCAUUUUGUUGGGAAAGAAAAAAAGCAGGUUAAUACCGGGCUGUAAUGACGGUACCCAAAGAAUAAGCACCGGCUAACUUCGUG